Molecule: ribosomal RNA, 447 nt
Filed under: uncultured bacterium
Lineage: Bacteria
Description: bacterial SSU rRNA
Rfam family: Bacterial small subunit ribosomal RNA
Source: RNAcentral
ACUCCUACGGGAGGCAGCAGUGGGGAAUAUUGCCACAAUGGGCGCAAGCCUGAUGCAGCCAUGCCGCGUGUGGUGAAGAAGGCCCUUCGGGUUGUAAAGCACUUUCAGUUGUGAGGAAGGUUGGUGUCGUUAAUAGCGGCAUCCAUUUGACGUUAGCAACAGAAGAAGCACCGGCUAACUCCGUGCCAGCAGCCGCGGUAAUACGGAGGGUGCGAGCGUUAAUCGGAAUUACUGGGCGUAAAGCGCAUGCAGGUGGUUUGUUAAGUCAGAUGUGAAAGCCCGGGGCUCAACCUCGGAACUGCAUUUGAAACUGGCAGACUAGAGUACUGUAGAGGGGGUAGAAUUUCAGGUGUAGCGGUGAAAUGCGUAGAGAUCUGAAGGGAAUACCGGUGGGCGAACGNGGCCCCCCUGGACAGAUACUGACACUCAGAUGCGAAAGCGUGGGGA